GGGAGGAAAAGAAUGAAGCAGAGGAGACCAAGAAGGAGCAGUCAGACAGAGAUAAAAAGUUCAUGCAUACCACAUCCAAAGGCUUGCUGGUGCUCUUGUGCUCACUAUGAACGACCCACAAAAAGAAACAAAGAAAUAUGUUGCUAGUGAAAAAUAUAACAGGAUUUGAUAGAGUGACAAAAAAACAAUUAUCCUAACUGCAAAUGGAAACAGAAUGAAUUCACCCACAAAAUGGAAUGGAGUAGAAGAAUAAAUUAAAAACAAAAAGUAAACCCA
This 276-nucleotide long non-coding RNA is filed under the name Monodelphis domestica (gray short-tailed opossum). RNAcentral's name for it is "lncRNA (ENSMODG00000044123.1)". Lineage: Eukaryota; Metazoa; Chordata; Mammalia; Didelphimorphia; Didelphidae. The record is from RNAcentral.